This 253-nucleotide unclassified non-coding RNA is filed under the name uncultured Actinomycetes bacterium. Its description in RNAcentral is "uncultured actinobacterium contains 16S-23S intergenic spacer region". It matches the Rfam family "Bacterial small subunit ribosomal RNA", at positions 524 to 776 of the family's 1533-position model. Lineage: Bacteria; Bacillati; Actinomycetota; Actinomycetes. The record is from RNAcentral.
GACGUAGGGCGCAAGCGUUGUCCGGAUUUAUUGGGCGUAAAGAGCUCGUAGGCGGCUUGUUGCGUCGACUGUGAAAACCCGCGGCUUAACCGCGGGACUGCAGUCGAUACGGGCAGGCUAGAGUUCGGUAGGGGAGACUGGAAUUCCUGGUGUAGCGGUGAAAUGCGCAGAUAUCAGGAGGAACACCGGAGGCGAAGGCGGGUCUCUGGGCCGAUACUGACGCUGAGGAGCGAAAGCGUGGGGAGCGAACAGG